AUUGAACGCUGGCGGCAGGCUUAACACAUGCAAGUCGAGCGGGGGAAGGUAGCUUGCUACCGGACCUAGCGGCGGAUGGGUGAGUAAUGCUUAGGAAUCUGCCUAUUAGUGGGGGACAACAUCUCGAAAGGGAUGCUAAUACCGCAUACGUCCUACGGGAGAAAGCAGGGGAUCUUCGGACCUUGCGCUAAUAGAUGAGCCUAAGUCGGGUUAGCUAGUUGGGGGGGUAAAGGCCUACAAAGGCGACGAUCUGUAGCGGGUCGGAGAGGAUGAUCCGCCACACUGGGACUGAGACACGGCCCAGACUCCUACGGGAGGCAGCAGUGGGGAAUAUUGGACAAUGGGGGGAACCCUGAUCCAGCCAUGCCGCGUGUGUGAAGGAGGCCUUAUGGUUGUAAAGCACUUUAAGCGAGGAGGAGGCUACUUUAGUUAAUACCUAGAGAUAGUGGACGUUACUCGCAGAAUAAGCACCGGCUAACUCUGUGCCAGCAGCCGCCGUAA
Molecule: ribosomal RNA, 501 nt
Filed under: uncultured bacterium
Lineage: Bacteria
Description: partial 16S ribosomal RNA
Rfam family: Bacterial small subunit ribosomal RNA
Source: RNAcentral